CCUACGGGCGGCAGCAGUGAGGAAUAUUGGUCAAUGGUCGGGAGACUGAACCAGCCAAGCCGCGUGAGGGAGGAAGGUACAGCGUAUCGUAAACCUCUUUUGUCAGGGAACAAAAGCGGGGACGUGUCCCCGGAUGAGUGUACCUGACGAAAAAGCAUCGGCUAACUCCGUGCCAGCAGCCGCGGUAAUACGGAGGAUGCGAGCGUUAUCCGGAUUUAUGGGGUUUAAAGGGUGCGCAGGCGGUCUGUUCAGUCAGCGGUCAAAGCCCGGGGCUCAACCCCGGCCCGCCGUUGAAACUGGCAGUCUCGAGUUGGAGAGAAGUAUGCGGAAUGCGCGGUGUAGCGGUGAAAUGCAUAGAUAUCGCGCAGAACUCCGAUUGCGAAGGCAGCAUGCCGGCUCCACACUGACGCUGAGGCACGAAAGCGUGGGUAUCGAACAGGAUUAGAUACCCUUGUAGUC
Molecule: ribosomal RNA, 459 nt
Filed under: uncultured bacterium
Lineage: Bacteria
Description: partial 16S ribosomal RNA
Rfam family: Bacterial small subunit ribosomal RNA
Source: RNAcentral